GGUUAAGCGACUAAGCGUACACGGUGGAUGCCCUGGCAGUCAGAGGCGAUGAAGGACGUGCUAAUCUGCGAAAAGCGUCGGUAAGGUGAUAUGAACCGUUAUAGCCGGCGAUGUCCGAAUGGGGAAACCCAGUGCAAUUCGUUGCACUAUCGUUAACUGAAUACAUAGGUUAACGAGGCGAACCGGGGGAACUGAAACAUCUAAGUACCCCGAGGAAAAGAAAUCAACCGAGAUUCCCCCAGUAGCGGCGAGCGAACGGGGAGCAGCCCAGAGUCUGAAUCAGCUUGUGUGUUAGUGGAACGGUCUGGAAAGUCCGACGGUACAGGGUGAUAGUCCCGUACACCAAAAUGCACAGGCUGUGAACUCGAAGAGUAGGGCGGGACACGUGGUAUCCUGUCUGAAUAUGGGGGGACCAUCCUCCAAGGCUAAAUACUCCUGACUGACCGAUAGUGAACCAGUACCGUGAGGGAAAGGCGAAAAGAACCCCGGCGAGGGGAGUGAAAAAGAACCUGAAACCGUGUACGUACAAGCAGUGGGAGCACCUUCGGGUGUGACUGCGUACCUUUUGUAUAAUGGGUCAGCGACUUAUAUUCUGUAGCAAGGUUAACCGUAUAGGGGAGCCGCAGGGAAACCGAGUCUUAACUGGGCGUUAAGUUGCAGGGUAUAGACCCGAAACCCGGUGAUCUAGCCAUGGGCAGGUUGAAGGUUGGGUAACACUAACUGGAGGACCGAACCGACUAAUGUUGAAAAAUUAGCGGAUGACUUGUGGCUGGGGGUGAAAGGCCAAUCAAACCGGGAGAUAGCUGGUUCUCCCCGAAAGCUAUUUAGGUAGCGCCUCGUGAACUCAUCUUCGGGGGUAGAGCACUGUUUCGGCUAGGGGGUCAUCCCGACUUACCAACCCGAUGCAAACUACGAAUACCGAAGAAUGUUAUCACGGGAGACACACGGCGGGUGCUAACGUCCGUCGUGAAGAGGGAAACAACCCAGACCGCCAGCUAAGGUCCCAAAGUCAUGGUUAAGUGGGAAACGAUGUGGGAAGGCACAGACAGCCAGGAUGUUGGCUUAGAAGCAGCCAUCAUUUAAAGAAAGCGUAAUAGCUCACUGGUCGAGUCGGCCUGCGCGGAAGAUGUAACGGGGCUAAACCAUGCACCGAAGCUGCGGCAGCGACACUAUGUGUUGUUGGGUAGGGGAGCGUUCUGUAAGCCUGCGAAGGUGUGCUGUGAGGCAUGCUGGAGGUAUCAGAAGUGCGAAUGCUGACAUAAGUAACGAUAAAGCGGGUGAAAAGCCCGCUCGCCGGAAGACCAAGGGUUCCUGUCCAACGUUAAUCGGGGCAGGGUGAGUCGACCCCUAAGGCGAGGCCGAAAGGCGUAGUCGAUGGGAAACAGGUUAAUAUUCCUGUACUUGGUGUUACUGCGAAGGGGGGACGGAGAAGGCUAUGUUAGCCGGGCGACGGUUGUCCCGGUUUAAGCAUGUAGGCUGGUUAUCCAGGCAAAUCCGGAUAAUCAAGGCUGAGGUGUGAUGACGAGGCACUACGGUGCUGAAGUAACAAAUGCCCUGCUUCCAGGAAAAGCCUCUAAGCAUCAGGUAACAUCAAAUCGUACCCCAAACCGACACAGGUGGUCAGGUAGAGAAUACCAAGGCGCUUGAGAGAACUCGGGUGAAGGAACUAGGCAAAAUGGUGCCGUAACUUCGGGAGAAGGCACGCUGGUGUGUAGGUGAAGUCCCUGCGGAUGGAGCUGAGACCAGUCGAAGAUACCAGCUGGCUGCAACUGUUUAUUAAAAACACAGCACUGUGCAAACACGAAAGUGGACGUAUACGGUGUGACGCCUGCCCGGUGCCGGAAGGUUAAUUGAUGGGGUUAUCCGUAAGGAGAAGCUCUUGAUCGAAGCCCCGGUAAACGGCGGCCGUAACUAUAACGGUCCUAAGGUAGCGAAAUUCCUUGUCGGGUAAGUUCCGACCUGCACGAAUGGCGUAAUGAUGGCCAGGCUGUCUCCACCCGAGACUCAGUGAAAUUGAACUCGCUGUGAAGAUGCAGUGUACCCGCGGCAAGACGGAAAGACCCCGUGAACCUUUACUAUAGCUUGACACUGAACAUUGAGCCUUGAUGUGUAGGAUAGGUGGGAGGCUUUGAAGCGUGGACGCCAGUCUGCGUGGAGCCAACCUUGAAAUACCACCCUUUAAUGUUUGAUGUUCUAACGUUGGCCCCUUACCGGGGUUGCGGACAGUGUCUGGUGGGUAGUUUGACUGGGGCGGUCUCCUCCCAAAGCGUAACGGAGGAGCACGAAGGUUAGCUAAUCCUGGUCGGACAUCAGGAGGUUAGUGCAAUGGCAUAAGCUAGCUUGACUGCGAGCGUGACGGCGCGAGCAGGUGCGAAAGCAGGUCAUAGUGAUCCGGUGGUUCUGAAUGGAAGGGCCAUCGCUCAACGGAUAAAAGGUACUCCGGGGAUAACAGGCUGAUACCGCCCAAGAGUUCAUAUCGACGGCGGUGUUUGGCACCUCGAUGUCGGCUCAUCACAUCCUGGGGCUGAAGUAGGUCCCAAGGGUAUGGCUGUUCGCCAUUUAAAGUGGUACGCGAGCUGGGUUUAGAACGUCGUGAGACAGUUCGGUCCCUAUCUGCCGUGGGCGCUGGAGAAUUGAGGGGGGCUGCUCCUAGUACGAGAGGACCGGAGUGGACGCAUCACUGGUGUUCGGGUUGUCAUGCCAAUGGCACUGCCCGGUAGCUAAAUGCGGAAGAGAUAAGUGCUGAAAGCAUCUAAGCACGAAACUUGCCCCGAGAUGAGUUCUCCCUGAGACUUUAAGUCUCCUGAAGGAACGUUGAAGACGACGACGUUGAUAGGCCGGGUGUGUAAGCGCAGCGAUGCGUUGAGCUAACCGGUACUAAUGAACCGUGAGGCUUAACCUU
Molecule: ribosomal RNA, 2902 nt
Filed under: Klebsiella pneumoniae
Lineage: Bacteria; Pseudomonadati; Pseudomonadota; Gammaproteobacteria; Enterobacterales; Enterobacteriaceae
Also listed under: 1 other name
Description: 23S ribosomal RNA
Rfam family: Bacterial large subunit ribosomal RNA
Source: RNAcentral